AGCAAACGCUGGCGGCAGGCCUAACACAUGCAAGUCGAACGAACUCUUCGGAGUUAGUGGCGGACGGGUGAGUAACACGUGGGAACGUGCCUUUUGGUUCGGAAUAACUCAGGGAAACUUGUGCUAAUACCGAAUGUGCCCUUCGGGGGAAAGAUUUAUCGCCAUUAGAGCGGCCCGCGUCUGAUUAGCUAGUUGGUGAGGUAACGGCUCACCAAGGCGACGAUCAGUAGCUGGUCUGAGAGGAUGACCAGCCACACUGGGACUGAGACACGGCCCAGACUCCUACGGGAGGGAGCAGUGGGGAAUCUUGCGCAAUGGGCGAAAGCCUGACGCAGCCAUGCGGCGUGAAUGAUGAAGGUCUUAGGAUUGUAAAAUUCUUUCACCGGAGACGAUAAUGACGGUACCCGGAGAAGAAGCCCCGGCUAACUUCGUG
This 433-nucleotide ribosomal RNA is filed under the name uncultured bacterium. RNAcentral's name for it is "partial 16S ribosomal RNA". It matches the Rfam family "Bacterial small subunit ribosomal RNA", at positions 29 to 507 of the family's 1533-position model. The record is from RNAcentral.